Molecule: ribosomal RNA, 497 nt
Filed under: uncultured bacterium
Lineage: Bacteria
Description: partial 16S ribosomal RNA
Rfam family: Bacterial small subunit ribosomal RNA
Source: RNAcentral
GAUGAACGCUGGCGGCGUGCCUAAUACAUGCAAGUCGAGCGAACAGAUGAGGAGCUUGCUCCGCUGACGUUAGCGGCGGACGGGUGAGUAACACGUGGAUAACCUACCUAUAAGACUGGGAUAACUUCGGGAAACCGGAGCUAAUACCGGAUAAUAUAUUGAACCGCAUGGUUCAAUAGUGAAAGACGGUUUUGCUGUCACUUAUAGAUGGAUCCGCGCCGCAUUAGCUAGUUGGUAAGGUAACGGCUUACCAAGGCAACGAUGCGUAGCCGACCUGAGAGGGUGAUCGGCCACACUGGAACUGAGACACGGUCCAGACUCCUACGGGAGGCAGCAGUAGGGAAUCUUCCGCAAUGGGCGAAAGCCUGACGGAGCAACGCCGCGUGAGUGAUGAAGGUCUUCGGAUCGUAAAACUCUGUUAUUAGGGAAGAACAAAUGUGUAAGUAACUAUGCACGUCUUGACGGUACCUAAUCAGAAAGCCACGGCUAACUACGUG